RNAcentral lists this ribosomal RNA (651 nucleotides) under uncultured bacterium. RNAcentral's name for it is "bacterial SSU rRNA". It matches the Rfam family "Bacterial small subunit ribosomal RNA", at positions 747 to 1398 of the family's 1533-position model. The record is from RNAcentral.
UGAGGGACGAAAGCUAGGGGAGCGAAAGGGAUUAGAUACCCCUGUAGUCCUAGCUGUAAACGAUGGAUACUAGGUGUUGGACGUAUCGACCCGUUCAGUACCGCAGCCAACGCGAUAAGUAUCCCGCCUGGGGAGUACGCACGCAAGUGUGAAACUCAAAGGAAUUGACGGGGGCCCGCACAAGCGGUGGAGUAUGUGGUUUAAUUCGAUGCAACGCGAAGAACCUUACCAGGGCUUGACAUCCCGCGAACCUUGAUGAAAGUCGAGGGUGCCUUCGGGAGCGGGGAGACAGGUGGUGCAUGGCUGUCGUCAGCUCGUGUCGUGAGAUGUUGGGUUAAGUCCCGCAACGAGCGCAACCCACGUCCUUAGUUGCCAGCAUUAAGUUGGGCACUCUGGGGAGACUGCCGGGGACAACUCGGAGGAAGGUGUGGAUGACGUCAAGUCAUCAUGCCCCUUACGUUCUGGGCUACACACGUACUACAAUGCUUCGGACAAAGGGCAGCCAACUAGCGAUAGUGAGCUAAUCCCAUAAACCGAGGCACAGUUCAGAUUGCAAGCUGCAACUCGCCUGCAUGAAGGAGGAAUCGCUAGUAAUCGCCGGUCAGCAUACGGCGGUGAAUACGUUCCCGGGCCUUGCACACACCGCCCGUC